This 1017-nucleotide ribosomal RNA is filed under the name human gut metagenome. RNAcentral's name for it is "bacterial LSU rRNA". It matches the Rfam family "Bacterial large subunit ribosomal RNA", at positions 1913 to 2925 of the family's 2925-position model. The record is from RNAcentral.
CGAAGCCCCAGUGAACGGCGGCCGUAACUAUAACGGUCCUAAGGUAGCGAAAUUCCUUGUCAGGUAAGUUCUGACCCGCAUGAAAGGCGUAAUGAUUUGGGCACUGUCUCAACAGCCCGCCCGGCGAAAUUGUAGUACCGGUGAAGAUGCCGGUUACCCGCGACAAGACGGAAAGACCCCAUGGAGCUUUACUGUAGCCUAAUAUUGGGUUUCGAUGUUGCAUGCACAGGAUAGAUGGGACACUGGGAAGCAGGUGCUUUGGCGCUUGUGGAGUGGCCGUUGGGAUACCAUCCUUGCGAUAUUGGAAUUCUAACCUGCGCCUUUGAAUCAAGGCGGGGGACAUUGUUAGGUGGGCAGUUUGACUGGGGCGGUCGCCUCCUAAAGAGUAACGGAGGCGUUCAAAGGUUCGCUCAGCUUGAACGGAAAUCAAGCAAAAGAGUGCAAACGCAGAAGCGAGCCUAACUGCGAGACUGACGGGUCGAGCAGUAACGAAAGUUGGAGUUAGUGAUCCGGUGGUAUGUGAGUGGAAAUGCCAUCGCUCAACGGAUAAAAGUUACCCUGGGGAUAACAGGCUGAUCUCCCCCAAGAGUCCACAUCGACGGGGAGGUUUGGCACCUCGAUGUCGGCUCAUCGCAUCCUGGGGCUGUAUUCGGUCCCAAGGGUUUGGCUGUUCGCCAAUUAAAGCGGUACGCGAGCUGGGUUCAGAACGUCGUGAGACAGUUCGGUCCCUAUCUGUCGUGGGCGCAGGAUAUUUGAUGGGAGCUGUUCCUAGUACGAGAGGACCGGAGCGGACGUACCUCUGGCGCACCAGUUGUUCUGCCAAGAGCAUAGCUGGGCAACUAUGUACGGAUCGGAUAAACGCUGAAAGCAUCUAAGCGUGAAGCCGACCCAAAGAUAAGAUAUCCCAUUGUUUCAAACAAGUAAGACCCCUUGAAGACUACAAGGUUGAUAGGCACGAUGUGUAAGUGGAGUGAUCCAUUCAGCAAGAGUGUACUAAUAGAUCGAGGGCUUGACCAC